This is a non-coding RNA of Thamnophis sirtalis, 4745 nucleotides long. Lineage: Eukaryota; Metazoa; Chordata; Lepidosauria; Squamata; Natricidae. The record is from RefSeq and is a predicted model, not a curated record.
GCAUCGGCGGCCGUGGCCCGGUUAGAGGGCCGCGAGUUCGAAUACCUCAUGAAAAAGCGCUCAGUAACCAUCGGCCGCAACUCCUCGCAGGGCUCGGUGGACGUAAGCAUGGGCCACUCCAGUUUCAUCUCCCGGCGGCACCUGGAGAUUUUCACUGCCCCGCCCGCUCAGGCCCCUGCCAACAGCGGUAGCGGCCCCGCCUCGACCCUCGCCGGCGACGGGACCGGGACUCAGUCGCCGCCUGUUGCCGCCAGCCCUUCGUCUGGCAGUGGCGAUUUCUACCUGCGUUGCCUGGGCAAGAACGGCGUCUUCGUGGACGGAGUGUUCCAGCGCCGGGGGGCGCCACCGUUGCAGCUGCCCCGCGUGUGUACAUUCAGGUUUCCCAGCACAAACAUCAAGAUAACAUUUACAGCUUUAUCCAAUGAAAAGAGAGAAAAACAGGAGUCCCCACAAUCCCCAGUGAAACCUGUACAACCCCAGAUUUCUCCCCUAACAAUCAACAUUCCAGACAACAUGGCUCACUUGAUCAGCCCUCUUCCCUCCCCCACAGGAACCAUCAGUGCUGCAAAUUCCUGUCCAUCUAGUCCUCGUGGUGCAGGUUCUUCAGGGUACAAAAUGGGUCGUGUAAUACCAUCUGACUUACAUCUUAUGGCUGACAAUUCACAGUCAGAAAAUGAUAAAGAAGCAUCUGGUGGAGAUAGCCCAAAGGAUGAUUCAAAGCCACCUUAUUCCUAUGCACAACUAAUUGUACAAGCAAUUACAAUGGCUCCUGAUAAGCAACUUACACUAAAUGGAAUUUAUACGCACAUAACUAAAAAUUAUCCUUACUACAGGACAGCAGACAAGGGCUGGCAGAAUUCAAUACGUCACAAUCUCUCUCUGAAUCGUUAUUUCAUCAAAGUACCACGUUCCCAGGAAGAACCAGGCAAGGGUUCCUUCUGGAGGAUAGAUCCUGCCUCUGAAAGCAAAUUAAUAGAACAGGCUUUUAGAAAAAGGCGGCCAAGGGGAGUACCUUGCUUUAGAACCCCACUGGGACCUCUUUCUUCUAGAAGUGCCCCAGCUUCUCCUAAUCAUUCUGGAGUAUUAUCUGCUCAUUCGAGUGGUGUGCAAACCCCAGAAAGCCUGUCAAGGGAAGGGUCACCUGUCCCAAUGGAGCCUGAGCCAAGCAGUAUCCAGCCAAAAUUAGCAGUAAUACAAGAAGCACGAUUUGCACAGAGUGCCCCAGGAUCUCCCUUAUCUAGCCAACCUGUUUUAAUUACUGUACAGAGGCAGCUGCCACAAACUAUGAAACCUGUCACAUACACUGUUGCAACUCCUGUGACAACAUCUACGUCCCAGCAGCCUGUAGUACAGACGGUUCAUGUUGUUCAUCAAAUCCCAGCUGUAUCUGUCACAAAUGUGACUGGAUUAGCACCAGCAAAUACUUAUACUGUAGCUGGGCAAGCAGUGGUUACACAAGCUGCAGUGAUGGCCCAGCCUAAAGGAGAACCUCAAGAGAAUGGAGAUCACAAUGAAAUGAAAGUUAAAGUGGAACCUGUACCCGCAGUUAGCCAUACAACUCUAGGAGCUGCCAGUCGCAUCAUUCAGACAUCUCAGACUACACCGUUACAAACGGUUACUCUAGUACAACAAGCACCUCUAGGUCAACACCAGCUACCAAUAAAAACUGUAACGCAAAAUGGAACACACAUAGUACCUAUCACCACAGCAAUGCAGAGUCAGGCUAACACUGCUGCUGCAAGCCCAUUACACAUGUUAGCAACUCAUGCAUCUGCAUCCGCCUCUCUUCCAACGAAACGUCAGAAUGGAGAUCAGUCUGAACAGCAAGACUUAAAACGGAUCAAAACAGAGGAUGGGGAGAACAUAGUCAUAGCUGUGAAUGUUGAAACCCCACCUGUGGCAGUGAGUGAACAAAGCAACAAGAACUAGGAAUGUGGAGGAAUAAUUCUUUUAAAAACAAUGGUCCUUGGUGCCAAAAUGAGACCUUUAAACAUCUAAACUUUUGAACAUGUUCUCUCAUGGCGGGGAAAGGGGCCCUGUGACUUCAUCUUUCAGCACUGAGAAACACAGGUGGCCUUAGAACUCCUUAAUUUAAAAAAAAAAUAGUCUAAAAGAUCCUAGUCCGGAGGCUGUGACCCCUCCCCCUUCCAUUUCUCCUUGCUGUUCCGAAGAGACUCUAUACAUACCUAUACAUUGAGAGGAAAAAGUUGGGGAAGAUAGCAACUUUAAAAACCUAUUUUAAAGAUUGAAUAUUGGAAUAUAUCCCAGCAUGAUAAGUUCUUCUUCACGUGAUUGGAUUUCAAAUGAUUGUAUAUUCCUCAAAGGGAACAGAGGCAAGGAGCCAUUUCCAACAUCUUGGCAGCUAGCCUUUCAUAAUGACCUACCCAAUGCAGUUGUUGGUAGAUAUGCAGUAUUUUGUUGUUCACAUGUGGAAUUAGAAAUUUUUGAUGUGUACUUUCAUUUUUUUUUCAAAAUAAUGGGGUCUUUGACAUUUCAGAUCACUCCAUUUCUACUCCAGAAACUUUGGAAUCACAUACUACUUUUCAUGUGAAAUUUUGUUUGGUAAAACCGAAUGUAGGGUUUUUUAACCAAUGGAAUGAUUUAAUUUUGUCCUGUUAAAGUUCAGAUAAAGCUAAUUUGUUACAUCUGCAAAUUUUCAUAUUUUAGCAGUUGCCUGAUAAACUUAAUCAAAUUUUAUUACCUUGUGUAGUGAUCAAAUGCUUCUUUGGGCUUGCAUGUUACUGAUUAGAAAUACAGUGUAAAUGAACUGUUAACUGACGUAAAGAACUGCUAUGAAUUUGACCAGAGCUGCACUUAUCUGUUUCUCUUUCUUGCUAUCUUUUGCUGUUUGUUACUUUGUGUUGACUUUGUCCCUGGCAAUUUUUUUCCAGUCUAAAGUAAAAAGAGUCGCAUAAUAUUGUGUAUGUUUAAAAUGACACUGUUCAUUUAGAAAAAAAAAUCUUUAUCACAUGUCCUUUUAAAAAGAUAAAAAUAUCUUGUCAGAGAUAUAUUGAAUAUUUUUAAGCUAAGCAUCCACCAAUAGAAAUAUAACUUAAUGAGUUUAACUUUUGAUGUCCUAACGAGACCUUCUGAGGUCUUCAUUAAAGAGUGGCCACUGUAGUUUUCUAACAGUGGCUACUUAUAGUAUAAUGAAAUAGUUUUUUUUAAUAUGUUUGACGGUUGGAAUAUUUUAAAGGUUUCUUCUCCGAGUUGUGAAAGAAGAAUUCAUGUUUUGUUACUGAACUAAACUAACAGCUGAGACUGUUCUUUAGUCCCUUUCACAUAUUUAAGGUCCUAACACAACAUGAAUUGGAUACUGUCCAUAAAUAUACAUGCUACUUACUGUAAAUUAUUGUUACAUUGCAAAGCCAACUACAUAUAACCCAAUGAGAAGUUGCAUCUCACUCCUAGGAUGAUUCUAUUGAGGGAAAUAAUGUGCAAGAGGUUUAGGUAUUUAUCUCUUCAUUCAUUAAACAGAUUUGUUUACAAAUCUCUUUUCAGACAGGUUGAAUUGUCUGAAUAAAUCACAAUUGGAUGGGUUCACACAUGCUAAAACACAAAACAAACCAUACAAUGGUUUAAGCCUUAAUGCAAUGAUAUGAACCCAAUGGCUAGCAUAUUCAAAUGAUAUUAAGUCAUUUUACCUGGUGAACCUGAUUAUUACUACCUUGUCUCCUUUAUCCAAAUUAUUUCCAUUUAAGCUCAAUUUAGAAUAUAUAGCCAAUAUAAUUUGUUCUAGAAAAGCCUAGUAUAAACGUAAAGAGCUGGCACAUGUUAUUGUGUGAAUUAUUUUGGAUCAGGCAGAAUGGCUUGACUGUUUGAACAUUGUUUGUCUUAAAGCAUCCUGAAGUUGGUCUGGCUCUUAAGGAGUCUGAGGUCACAUAAGCAUUCAUGAAUAGCUUCUAUGCUUUAUAUAUUUGGCAAAAAAAUUAUUUAAAUUGGAUGUAGAAAUUUUAGCAAAAAUGUAGAAAUAAGAGGCAAUUUGAGAAUUUAAAUCAUGUAUUCUUAGUGUGACAUAAAAACCUAGCAAACAGAUUAUACUAUAAUUACAUUGAAUUAUUUUAAUAUUUGAUAUGAGUAAAUCAAUGCUUGUUUUCAUGGUUUAAAUUUAGAUAAUUGAAUAAUGGCCCUGUCAUCUGAAUAGCAGUAUUUAAUGUUUAAAAGCCCUCUCCCAUCAAUAUGAAUUCUGGAAUGUAAACAAUUCCAAAUACAAUGAAAAGUAAUAACAGUAGUGGUUUAGCCUUGGGCCUCUAAACAGAGAAGCAAGAGUGGCUGCAGGAAGAAAUUAUUGCAGGUUUCUUUGUAUUGCAGUCCCUGGAAGGCGGGGUAAACUGUGGAGACCCAAGAUUGGGAAAUGCUCAUUCUCGGCUCCUAUGGAAUAGCUUUGAUCCUGCAUAGGUCACCCCCCCCCUUUUUUUUAAAAAGGGCUGUAGCCAACAGUGUCUUAGCAUGUCAUGAAUACCCUAUUUAUAAAUAGAGUUUAUUUACAAACCAGUACUGAAAGCAGUGUGAAUGGAAAUUAGUAACUUGAAGUUGAACUUCAGACAGCUUUCAGUGCAGCACAUUAACACUCAUUUACCUCAACAGUUUUUCCCUUUGAAAUCGGAAAAUCCAAGUUCAUCAACAUAUUACUUUGAUUGUAAACAUCAUUUCCCUUCAAGUUGAAGGGCAGUAUGAGCAGACUAUUAUAGUACUUUCAAGAUGAAUUUGUAAAUUCAUAAAAUAAAAUCCCCAUGUGUAAAAUG